This 492-nucleotide ribosomal RNA is filed under the name uncultured bacterium. Its description in RNAcentral is "partial 16S ribosomal RNA". It matches the Rfam family "Bacterial small subunit ribosomal RNA", at positions 29 to 507 of the family's 1533-position model. The record is from RNAcentral.
AGUGAACGCUGGCGGUAGGCCUAACACAUGCAAGUCGAACGGCAGCACAGUAAGAGCUUGCUCUUACGGGUGGCGAGUGGCGGACGGGUGAGGAAUACAUCGGAAUCUACUUUUUCGUGGGGGGUAACGUAGGGAAACUUACGCUAAUACCGCAUACGACCUACGGGUGAAAGCAGGGGAUCUUCGGACCUUGCGCGAUUGAAUGAGCCGAUGUCGGAUUAGCUAGUUGGCGGGGUAAAGGCCCACCAAGGCGACGAUCCGCAGCUGGUCUGAGAGGAUGAUCAGCCACACUGGAACUGAGACACGGUCCAGACUCCUACGGGAGGCAGCAGUGGGGAAUAUUGGACAAUGGGCGCAAGCCUGAUCCAGCCAUACCGCGUGGGUGAAGAAGGCCUUCGGGUUGUAAAGCCCUUUUGUUGGGAAAGAAAAGCAGCAGGUUAAUACCCCGCUGUUCUGACGGUACCCAAAGAAUAAGCACCGGCUAACUUCGUG